RNAcentral lists this ribosomal RNA (269 nucleotides) under uncultured bacterium. Its description in RNAcentral is "partial 16S ribosomal RNA". It matches the Rfam family "Bacterial small subunit ribosomal RNA", at positions 84 to 354 of the family's 1533-position model. The record is from RNAcentral.
UUGGUAUCUUAGUGGCGGACGGGUGAGUAACGCGUGGGUAACCUGCCUUACACUGGGGGAUAACACUUAGAAAUAGGUGCUAAUACCGCAUAACAGUAAGAGACGCAUGUCUUUUACUUGAAAAUUCCGGUGGUGUAAGAUGGACCCGCGUCUGAUUAGCUUGUUGGCGGGGUAACGGCCCACCAAGGCAACGAUCAGUAGCCGGCCUGAGAGGGUGAACGGCCACAUUGGGACUGAGACACGGCCCAAACUCCUACGGGAGGCAGCAG